CUGCACGGUUACUAUGUACAGAGCAGUGGAUUUUACUCAUCUGCCCAUAAGCAAUAUGUCAAGCCAGUAGAAAGUGCCUGGAUGGUGAUUGCUCUCAAACGUCUCUGUUCCAAUUACAGUUUUCUCAUAACGGAAAUUAAAGACUUGAUUGGAUGCAGUACCUCAGGGUUCUUAGAUUGUUACAUUCAACUGUUGAAAACAACAAAAAGUGCUCUGUAUGAAAAUCAGUUAAUUUCUUUCAGUAAAACAUAACAUGAACUUGGAAUUCACAGUUAUAAAUUAUUUAUAUGCAGAUCCAAAGUACUCUGAGUACUCCAUACAGUAUGAUAUUGCCAGGACCUAUGCAAAGUGUGAGAAUUAUCUGUCUGCAUCAGAAGAGUACAUGUCAUUGCUUGGAAGUAUCUUCUCAAAAGAUUGUAAUGCCAGUGGUUUCUCACAAAAGCAAGAUGUUUUUACAAAUAUUCGUUUAAUCAUCCAUGAUGCAGUAUUAGUGCAUCUGAAGAGUUCACAGCUGGAGACUGCCUACUUACUAUGCAAACUAUGUACAGAUCAGAAAUUAAUGCCUGCCACAACAGUUAGAGUCUGCAGAAGAUUUCAUACGAGGAAUGAAAGAUGACGUCAUUGCAAUGAUGCUGACAGCAGAAGUCUACAUGGAGAUGGGGGAAAUUACUGAAGCCAAAGACAUCUUGAUGAGGUCCAUGGAGGUACUAGUUGGCUGUAUACUGAACACAAUGAGUAGUAGUGACACAGAAUGUGAUACUCAUAUACUAAAAGUGCGUCAACUACUUCGUGGAUUAUUGGCAAAANNNNNNNNNNUUAUUUUUAAAAUUUUUUUUAAUGAAAAAAAAAUAAUUUAAUGGCAGAAGCUUCCAGCUUUCUACAGAGAUCAGUGGAACUAAAUCCAGGUAUUGUUAUACAAA
RNAcentral lists this long non-coding RNA (920 nucleotides) under Locusta migratoria (migratory locust). RNAcentral describes it as "partial Lnc26261". The record is from RNAcentral. Lineage: Eukaryota; Metazoa; Arthropoda; Insecta; Orthoptera; Acrididae.